UCCCCCACCCCCGCCUCCUUCCAGGGCACUGGCGUGGGUCCUUCGCCGUCCGGCGGCGACUGUAAAUAGAGCCUGGAUGUUGUUUACAUGAAGGAUCCGGCGGGAGGAGUCUGCGAGGAGGCGGCGGCGGCGGCGGCGGAGGAGGAGGAGGGAGGGCGGAGAGAGGAAGACCGGAGUCCCCGCGGCGGCGGCGGUGGUCCGGGGUGAGGGUGAGCCCCGCGCGGCGCGGGGACCGGGCGCUACCACGAGGCCGUGAAGCCGGACCCUGGGGAAUAGAAGCUGAGAAUGUUGGACUCUGCAGAAAAGAGGAGUGGGAUUGUGUUUCUGGAACAGCUCAAAGCUCUAAAAGUGGAGGUCAGUGCAAGUCUUUGGUAUUGCCCCCUUCAGCAGUCCAUUGAGGGGAUUUGAGAACUAAGAGCCGGCAUUUUUAAACGGCAAUGCUGGCAGUAAUGAGGAAAUCAUAGAUUCAUUGGAGGUGGCCGGGGUUUUUAGAGAUGGUUAGCUAGGGGUGGAUCGUUUAGAAGUCAGCUGGUGUAUUUUUGACUGGUUAUUCUGAAAGGGUGCAGUAACAGAAUAAAACUUACUUGUGGGCAGACUAUGAAAUCCAAAAUCUAGGGGGGUAAAAUUAACUCUAGAGCAAAAUCUAAAGUAAAACAACUGUGGAGUAGACAGUUGGACUUAAGUGUGUAUGCUGAGUACAUGUGUAAAAGGGGAAAGGCCCAUAGUGUCGAAUAU
This 735-nucleotide long non-coding RNA is filed under the name Camelus dromedarius (Arabian camel). RNAcentral's name for it is "lncRNA (ENSCDRG00005004647.1)". Lineage: Eukaryota; Metazoa; Chordata; Mammalia; Artiodactyla; Camelidae. The record is from RNAcentral.